Molecule: ribosomal RNA, 1430 nt
Filed under: uncultured organism
Description: SSU rRNA
Rfam family: Bacterial small subunit ribosomal RNA
Source: RNAcentral
UACAGGCUUAACACAUGCAAGUCGAGGCGUUUCAGUUCAGUUUGCUUGCAAACUGGAUAUGGCGACCGGCGCACGGGUGAGUAACACGUAUCCAACCUGCCGAUAACUCGGGGAUAGCCUUUCUAAAGAAAGAUUAAUACCCGAUGGUAUAAUCAGACCGCAUGGUCUUGUUAUUAAAGAAUUUCGGUUAUCGAUGGGGAUGCGUUCCAUUAGGCAGUUGGUGAGGUAACGGCUCACCAAACCUUCUAUGGAUAUGGGUUCUGAGAGGAAGGUCCCCCACAUUGGAACUGAGACACGGUCCAAACUCCUACGGGAGGCAGCAGUGAGGAAUAUUGGUCAAUGGGCGCAGGCCUGAACCAGCCAAGUAGCGUGAAGGAUGACUGCCCUAUGGGUUGUAAACUUCUUUUAUAUGGGAAUAAAGUUUUCCACGUGUGGAAUUUUGUAUGUACCAUAUGAAUAAGGAUCGGCUAACUCCGUGCCAGCAGCCGCGGUAAUACGGAGGAUCCGAGCGUUAUCCGGAUUUAUUGGGUUUAAAGGGAGCGUAGGUGGACAGUUAAUUCAGUUGUGAAAGUUUGCGGCUCAACCGUAAAAUUGCAGUUGAUACUGGCUGUCUUGAGUACAGUAGAGGUGGGCGGAAUUCGUGGUGUAGCGGUGAAAUGCUUAGAUAUCACGAAGAACUCCGAUUGCGAAGGCAGCUCACUGGACUGCAACUGACACUGAUGCUCGAAAGUGUGGGUAUCAAACAGGAUUAGAUACCCUGGUAGUCCACACAGUAAACGAUGAAUACUCGCUGUUUGCGAUAUACAGUAAGCGGCCAAGCGAAAGCAUUAAGUAUUCCACCUGGGGAGUACGCCGGCAACGGUGAAACUCAAAGGAAUUGACGGGGGCCCGCACAAGCGGAGGAACAUGUGGUUUAAUUCGAUGAUACGCGAGGAACCUUACCCGGGCUUAAAUUGCAUUUGAAUAUAUUGGAAACAGUAUAGCCGUAAGGCAAAUGUGAAGGUGCUGCAUGGUUGUCGUCAGCUCGUGCCGUGAGGUGUCGGCUUAAGUGCCAUAACGAGCGCAACCCUUAUCUUUAGUUACUAACAGGUCAUGCUGAGGACUCUAGAGAGACUGCCGUCGUAAGAUGUGAGGAAGGUGGGGAUGACGUCAAAUCAGCACGGCCCUUACGUCCGGGGCUACACACGUGUUACAAUGGGGGGUACAGAAGGCAGCUACCUGGUGACAGGAUGCUAAUCCCAAAAGCCUCUCUCAGUUCGGAUCGAAGUCUGCAACCCGACUUCGUGAAGCUGGAUUCGCUAGUAAUCGAGCAUCAGCCAUGGCGCGGUGAAUACGUUCCCGGGCCUUGUACACACCGCCCGUCAAGCCAUGAAAGCCGGGGGUACAUGAAGUACGUAACCGCAAGGAGCGUCCUAGGGUAAAACUGGAAA